CAGUGAUCACUUUAACGGCCGCGGUACCCUGACCGUGCAAAGGUAGCAUAAUCAUUUGCCUUUUAAUUGGAGGCUAGUAUGAAUGGUCUAACGAGAGUAAAACUGUCUCAUACAUAUUCAAUAGAAAUUAACUUAAAGGUGCAAAGGCCUUUAUACCCCAAAAAGACGAGAAGACCCUGUUGAGCUUUAAUCUAGCAUUCUCCCUAUAUUUAUAAAUUCAUUUCGCUUACUAAAGAUUUUAAUUGGGGCGAUUAAGGAACACUCACCAGCUUCCUGAAAAAUUAAAUCGAUCCGGUACCACCGAUCAACAAAACGAGUUACCACAGGGAUAACAGCAUAAUUCUCCUUAAGAGCCCAUAUCGAAAGGGGAGAUUGUGACCUCGAUGUUGGACUAGGGUAACUAGAAGGUGUAGCCGCUUUCUUGGUUGGUCUGUUCGACCAGUAAUUCCCU
This 451-nucleotide ribosomal RNA is filed under the name Nerita textilis. RNAcentral's name for it is "partial 16S ribosomal RNA". It matches the Rfam family "Bacterial large subunit ribosomal RNA", at positions 1913 to 2597 of the family's 2925-position model. Lineage: Eukaryota; Metazoa; Mollusca; Gastropoda; Cycloneritida; Neritidae. The record is from RNAcentral.